Molecule: ribosomal RNA, 497 nt
Filed under: uncultured bacterium
Lineage: Bacteria
Description: partial 16S ribosomal RNA
Rfam family: Bacterial small subunit ribosomal RNA
Source: RNAcentral
GAUGAACGCUGGCGGCGUGCCUAAUACAUGCAAGUCGAGCGAACAGACGAGGAGCUUGCUCCUCUGACGUUAGCGGCGGACGGGUGAGUAACACGUGGAUAACCUACCUAUAAGACUGGGAUAACUUCGGGAAACCGGAGCUAAUACCGGAUAAUAUAUUCAACCGCAUGGUUCAAUAGUGAAAGACGGUUUUGCUGUCACUUCUAGAUGGAUCCGCUCCGCAUUAGCUAGUUGGUAAGGUAACGGCUUACCAAGGCAACGAUGCGUAGCCGACCUGAGCGGGUGAUCGGCCACACUGGAACGGAGACACGGUCCAGACUCCUGCGGGAGGCAGCAGUAUGGAAUCUUCCGCAAUGGGCGAAAGCUUGACAGAGCAACGCCGCGUGAGUGAUGAAGGUCUUCGGAUCGUAAUACUCUGUUAUUAGGGAAGAACAAAUUUGUAAGUAACUAUGCACGUCUUGACGGUACCUAAACAGAAAGCCACGGCUAACUACGUG